GAUGAACACUAGCGGGAUGCCUUACACAUGCAAGUCGAACGGCAGCGCGGACUUCGGUCUGGCGGCGAGUGGCGAACGGGUGAGUAAUGUAUCGGAACGUGCCCAGUAGCGGGGGAUAACUACUCGAAAGAGUAGCUAAUACCGCAUACGCCCUACGGGGGAAAGGGGGGGAUCGCAAGACCUCUCACUAUUGGAGCGGCCGAUAUCGGAUUAGCUAGUUGGUGAGGUAAAGGCUCACCAAGGCGACGAUCCGUAGCUGGUUUGAGAGGACGACCAGCCACACUGGGACUGAGACACGGCCCAGACUCCUACGGGAGGCAGCAGUGGGGAAUUUUGGACAAUGGGGGAAACCCUGAUCCAGCCAUUCCGCGUGUGCGAUGAAGGCCUUCGGGUUGUAAAGCACUUUUGGCAGGAAAGAAAUCGCAUCAAUUAAUACUUGGUGUGGAUGACGGUACCUGCAGAAUAAGCACCGGCUAACUACGUGCCAGCCGCCGCGGUAA
RNAcentral lists this ribosomal RNA (500 nucleotides) under uncultured bacterium. Its description in RNAcentral is "partial 16S ribosomal RNA". It matches the Rfam family "Bacterial small subunit ribosomal RNA", at positions 28 to 523 of the family's 1533-position model. The record is from RNAcentral.